Molecule: long non-coding RNA, 923 nt
Organism: Dicentrarchus labrax (European seabass)
Lineage: Eukaryota; Metazoa; Chordata; Actinopteri; Moronidae
Exons: 6
Source: RefSeq, a predicted model, not a curated record
GUUAGUGACCGAUUCCCAUUAAUGAGCUCACAGAAGCACCAGAAGCAUCAUUUAAUUCCAGCAAACUGGAACCUGGUUAGACCUGAUGAUGAGGUAAACAUGACACCUGAUCAUGUGACCUGUUACAGUCAGAAACAGUAGAGAUGGAAAAAGUAAAAGAGCUGAAGUCAGAAACUGCUGUCAACAAAAACAAAUAAAAACAGUUUUUAUGCUAAGCUAUUCUAGCUGUUUUAGAGAGAAAGAAGAAGAAUUUAUCACAGUUGGAAAUGUUAAAUAAUAAAAGGCAUAAUUAAAGUGUAAUAAAAGCUGUAAUAAAGUGUAAUAAAGUGUAAUAAAAGCUGUAAUAAAGUGUAAUAAAGUGUGAUAAAAGGUGUAAUAAAGUGUAAUAAAGUGUAAUAAAAGCUGUAAUAAAGUGUAAUAAAAGCUGUAAUAAAGUGUAAUAAAGUGUAAUAAAGUGUAAUAAAGUGUAAUAAAAGCUGUAAUAAAGUGUAAUAAAAGCUGUAAUAAAGUGUAAUAAAGUGUAAUAAAGUGUAAUAAAGUGUAAUAAAGUGUAAUAAAAGCUGUAAUAAAGUGUAAUAAAGUGUAAUAAAAGCUGUAAUAAAGUGUAAUAAAAGCUGUAAUAAAGUGUAAUAAAGUGUAAUAAAAGCUGUAAUAAACUGUAAUAAAGUGUAAUAAAAGCUGUAAUAAAGUGUAAUAAAGUGUAAUAAAAGCUGUAAUAAACUGUAAUAAAGUGUAAUAAAAGCUGUAAUAAAGUGUAAUAAAGUGUAAUAAAAGCUGUAAUAAAGUGUAAUAAAGUGUAAUAAAAUCUGUAAUAAAGUGUAAUAAAAGCUGUAAUAAAGUGUAAUAAAGUGUAAUAAAAGGUGUACUAAAGGCUUAACAAAGGUGAUCAGUGGGUUAAUGAUGUCAGAACAGAGUGAACCAAU